Molecule: ribosomal RNA, 503 nt
Filed under: Dalmatolacerta oxycephala (sharp-snouted rock lizard)
Lineage: Eukaryota; Metazoa; Chordata; Lepidosauria; Squamata; Lacertidae
Description: partial 16S ribosomal RNA
Rfam family: Bacterial large subunit ribosomal RNA
Source: RNAcentral
GGUACCGCCUGCCCAGUGACUAUUUAAACGGCCGCGGUAUCCUAACCGUGCAAAGGUAGCAUAAUCACUUGUCCUCUAAAUCAGGACUGGAAUGAACGGCUAAAUGAGGACUAAACUGUCUCUUGUGGUCCACCAAUGAAAUUGAUCUCCCAGUACAAAAGCUGGGAUAAACCCAUAAGACGAGAAGACCCUGUGGAGCUUUUAAAACUAAGCCCAUACAACAUGUCCUCUUGAGUUUUUAGUUGGGGCGACUUUGGAGUACAAAAAAACCUCCAUAAAUGAUUAACUUAUCCUAUUAAGAUCAACACACCAAAACAACCAUAUAAGACCCAGCAACUUACCUCUGUUGUCUGACUAAUGAACCAAGUUACCCCAGGGAUAACAGCGCUAUUCCCUUCUAGAGUCCCUAUCGACAAGGGAGUUUACGACCUCGAUGUUGGAUCAGGACACCCCAAUGGUGCAGCCGCCAUAAAAGGUUCGUUUGUUCAACGAUUAAAGUCCUA